This 3812-nucleotide long non-coding RNA is filed under the name Salmo salar (Atlantic salmon). RNAcentral's name for it is "lncRNA (ENSSSAG00000108270.1)". Lineage: Eukaryota; Metazoa; Chordata; Actinopteri; Salmoniformes; Salmonidae. The record is from RNAcentral.
CUCUCUCGCUCUCUCCCUCUCUCUCUCCCUCUCUCUCUCUCUCUCCCCAUCUCGCUCUUCCACUCUCCCUCUCUUUAUCUCUCCUUCUCCCUGUCUCUCCCCCUCUCUCUCCCCCCUCUCUCUCUCUCUCCCCCAGCAGUUGUUGAAUGAGGAAGUGUGUCUGACCUCCACCAAGUCACUUUGACAUCACUGCCCUCUAGUGGCCACAGUGUGUUCUGUCCUUUAGAGAGGUCAGGAGGUGGAGAGCUCCAAGGUCAGAGGUCAGCCAUGACCGUCCUUUCAGUUACAGGUUAGAGGUUGAUGGAGGUCUGUAGUGAUGGAGGUCUGUAUUGAUGGAGGUCUGUAUUGUAUCUAGUGAUGGAGGUCUGUAGUGAUGGAGGUCUGUAUUGAUGGAGGUCUGUAUUGUAUCUAGUGAUGGAGGUCUGUAGUGAUGGAGGUCUGUAUUGUAUCUAGUGAUGGAGGUCUGUAUUGUAUCUAGUGAUGGAGGUCUGUAGUGAUGGAGGUCUGUAUUGUAUCUAGUGAUGGAGGUCUGUAUUAUAUCUAGUGAUGGAGGUCUGUAUUGUAUCUAGUGAUGGAGGUCUGUAGUGAUGGAGGUCUGUAUUGUAUCUAGUGAUGGAGGUCUGUAUUGUAUCUAGUGAUGGAGGUCUGUAGUGAUGGAGGUCUGUAUUGUAUCUAGUGAUGGAGGUCUGUAUUAUAUCUAGUGAUGGAGGUCUGUAUUGUAUCUAGUGAUGGAGGUCUGUAGUGAUGGAGGUCUGUAUUGUAUCUAGUGAUGGAGGUCUGUAUUGUAUCUAGUGAUGGAGGUCUGUAGUGAUGGAGGUCUGUAUUGUAUCUAGUGAUGGAGGUCUGUAUUGUAUCUAAUGAUGGAGGUCUGUAGUGAUGGAGGUCUGUAUUGUAUCUAGUGAUGGAGGUCUGUAUUGUAUCUAGUGAUGGAGGUCUGUAUUGUAUCUAGUGAUGGAGGUCUGUAUUGUAUCUAGUGAUGGAGGUCUGUAGUGAUGGAGGUCUGUAUUGUAUCUAGUGAUGGAGGUCUGUAUUGAUGGAGGUCUGUAUUGUAUCUAGUGAUGGAGGUCUGUAUUGUAUCUAGUGAUGGAGGUCUGUAUUGAUGGAGGUCUGUAUUGUAUCUAGUGAUGGAGGUCUGUAUUGAUGGAGGUCUGUAGUGAUGGAGGUAUGUAUUGUAUCUAGUGAUGGAGGUCUGUAUUGAUGGAGGUCUGUAUUGUAUCUAGUGAUGGAGGUCUGUAUUGUAUCUAGUGAUGGAGGUCUGUAUUGUAUCUAGUGAUGGAGGUCUGUAGUGAUGGAGGUCUGUAUUGUAUCUAGUGAUGGAGGUCUGUAUUGUAUCUAGUGAUGGAGGUCUGUAUUGAUGGAGGUCUGUAUUGUAUCUAGUGAUGGAGGUCUGUAGUGAUGGAGGUAUUUAUUGUAUCUAGUGAUGGAGGUCUGUAUUGUAUCUAGUGAUGGAGGUCUGUAGUGAUGGAGGUCUGUAUUGUAUCUAGUGAUGGAGGUCUGUAGUGAUGGAGGUCUGUAUUGUAUCUAGUGAUGGAGGUCUGUAGUGAUGGAGGUCUGUAUUGUAUCUAGUGAUGGAGGUCUGUAGUGAUGGAGGUCUGUAGUGAUGGAGGUAUUUAUUGUAUCUAGUGAUGGAGGUCUGUAGUGAUGGAGGUCUGUAUUGUAUCUAGUGAUGGAGGUCUGUAGUGAUGGAGGUCUGUAUUGUAUCUAGUGAUGGAGGUCUGUAUUGAUGGAGGUCUGUAGUGAUGGAGGUCUGUAUUGUAUCUAGUGAUGGAGGUCUGUAGUGAUGGAGGUCUGUAUUGUAUCUAGUGAUGGAGGUCUGUAUUGUAUCUAGUGAUGGAGGUCUCUAUUGUGUCUAGUGAUCGAGGUCUGUAUUGAUGGAGGUCUGUAUUGUAUCUAGUGAUGGAGGUCUGUAGUGAUGGAGGUCUGUAGUGAUGUAGGUAUGUAUUGUAUCUAGUGAUGGAGGUCUGUAUUGAUGGAGGUCUGUAUUGUAUCUAGUGAUGGAGGUCUGUAUUGUAUCUAGUGAUGGAGGUCUGUAGUGAUGGAGGUCUGUAUUGUAUCUAGUGAUGGAGGUCUGUAUUGUAUCUAGUGAUGGAGGUCUGUAGUGAUGGAGGUCUGUAUUGUAUCUAGUGAUGGAGGUCUGUAGUGAUGGAGGUCUGUAUUGUAUCUAGUGAUGGAGGUCUGUAUUGAUGGAGGUCUGUAUUGUAUCUAGUGAUGGAGGUCAAGGUGAUGGAGGUCUGUAUUGUAUCUAGUGAUGGAGGUCUGUAUUGUAUCUAGUGAUGGAGGUCUGUAGUGAUGGAGGUCUGUAUUGUAUCUAGUGAUGGAGGUCUGUAUUGUAUCUAGUGAUGGAGGUCUGUAGUGAUGGAGGUCUGUAUUGUAUCUAGUGAUGGAGGUCUGUAGUUAUGGAGGUCUGUAUUGUAUCUAGUGAUGGAGGUCUGUAGUGAUGGAGGUCUGUAUUGUAUCUAGUGAUGGAGGUCUGUAGUGAUGGAGGUCUGUAUUGUAUCUAGUGAUGGAGGUCUGUAUUGUAUCUAGUGAUGGAGGUCUGUAGUGAUGGAGGUCUGUAUUGUAUCUAGUGAUGGAGGUCUGUAGUGAUGGAGGUCUGUAUUGUAUCUAGUGAUGGAGGUCUGUAGUGAUGGAGGUCUGUAUUGUAUCUAGUGAUGGAGGUCUGUAUUGAUGGAGGUCUGUAUUGUAUCUAGUGAUGGAGGUCUGUAGUGAUGGAGGUCUGUAGUGAUGGAGGUCUGUAGUGAUGGAGGUCUGUAUUGUAUCUAGUGAUGGAGGUCUGUAUUGUAUCUAGUGAUGGAGGUCUGUAGUGAUGGAGGUCUGUAGUGAUGGAGGUCUGUAUUGUAUCUAGUGAUGGAGGUCUGUAGUGAUGGAGGUCUGUAUUGUAUCUAGUGAUGGAGGUCUGUAGUGAUGGAGGUCUGUAUUGUAUCUAGUGAUGGAGGUCUGUAUUGAUGGAGGUCUGUAUUGUAUCUAGUGAUGGAGGUCUGUAGUGAUGGAGGUCUGUAGUGAUGGAGGUCUGUAGUGAUGGAGGUCUGUAUUGUAUCUAGUGAUCGAGGUCUGUAUUGUAUCUAGUGAUGGAGGUCUGUAUUGUAUCUAGUGAUGGAGGUCUGUAUUGAUGGAGGUCUGUAUUGUAUCUAGUGAUGGAGGUCUGUAUUGUAUCUAGUGAUGGAGGUCUGUAUUGUAUCUAGUGAUGGAGGUCUGUAGUGAUGGAGGUCUGUAUUGUAUCUAGUGAUGGAGGUCUGUAUUGUACCUAGUGAUGGAGGUCUGUAGUGAUGGAGGUCUGUAGUGAUGGAGGUCUGUAUUGUAUCUAGUGAUGGAGGUCUGUAGUGAUGGAGGUCUGUAUUGUAUCUAGUGAUGGAGGUCUGUAUUGUAUGUAGUGAUGGAGGUCUGUAUUGUAUCUAGUGAUGGAGGUCUGUAGUGAUGGAGGUCUGUAGUGAUGGAGGUCUGUAUUGUAUCUAGUGAUGGAGGUCUGUAUUGUAUCUAGUGAUGGAGGUCUGUAUUGUAUCUAGUGAUGGAGGUCUGUAGUGAUGUUGGCUUUCAGUCGUAUGUCCUUGAAUGAUUCUAACCAUAAUAAUGAUGAUAAAUUCUGUUAUAAGUUAUUUUACCGUCCUGUUAAAACAUAUAUUAGCAGGUAGCAGUGGCGUUGUUGAAUGUAAAUCCCUGCUAUAUUAGCAGGUAGCAGUGGCGUUGUUGAAUGUAAAUCCCUGCUAUAUUAGCAGGUAGCAGUGGCGUUGCUGAAUGUAAAUCCCUGCUAUAUUAGCAGGUAGCAGUGAUGUUGUUGAAUGUAAAUCCCUGCUAUAUUAGCAGGUAGCAGUGGC